AAACAACAUUGUCGCAAGUAAUGACCUUCUGACAACAGUUAGAGAUUUCUAGCAUGGCUGACACAAGUAACCAUGGAUCCCUCAUUGAUGAAUGGUUGCCGACCCUACACCAAGCCCAAAGAACUCUCAUGUCAUGCUGAAUGAAAAAUUCAGCUCUCGCUCAAUAUCUGGUCUUUUUAGUGAACAUGGAACCAAUAAGCCCCACGAUCAAUCUGAAAAAGCAGAGAAGUUGUGAAUUCUGCUUUUCUUUACAAUAAAAUGGGGAUAUAACAGCUUUAAGCACAAUGAGAAAUGAGUCCAUCAUUAGUGAGAUCCAAGCCCAGCUAAAGCACAAGAAUGUCACAGUGGAUGUCAAAGCAAAUUCAGACCCUCAUAUUAGUCCUAUUCAGCUCUCAACUACAGUCACAGUCGAGGAACUUGGUUUACCAGGCUUGAAAAACAUAAUGGCCAUUUCUUAUCCACAUCAAGCAUUUGGGAGGGUA
Molecule: long non-coding RNA, 482 nt
Organism: Zea mays
Lineage: Eukaryota; Viridiplantae; Streptophyta; Magnoliopsida; Poales; Poaceae
Exons: 4
Source: RefSeq, a predicted model, not a curated record